ACCGUGAUCCAGCCGUGGGCACUAUAGGGAUCCACGUCUAGUUCUGAAGCACCCAGUGCUUCCUGUUCCAUGUACAGUGAGGCUGGCGACGCGCAAGCGGUGCAUCGCUAUAGCAACAUGACGUCAGGAACGGAAGCGGAAGGGAGUGCGACGGCCAUGAACAGGAACCAGGUGUGCGGCGGCGGUGAUCUGCAGGGACCUAUACAGGUAUUUAAAGCAUCUAUCUCUAUGGUGAUGGCAAACUGUUUCUAUAGUUACCAGACCCCUCCUCCUGACCGUGUUGCGUGACGUCACUAUGCCCGCGUCUGGAAGUUAGUCAGGUUUGCUGGAGAGAUAAACAGCACAUGGUGUUAUAAAGAGAAUCACCAUGGUUACCAGCCAGGGACCCGUUUUGUCACUUCCGCAGGAAGUGACAUACCCGGAAGUGAGGGAGGCGGAGCCAGGGAGGCUGAGACUGCGGUGAUGUGCAGUGGGAAGUCU
Molecule: long non-coding RNA, 480 nt
Organism: Pseudophryne corroboree (corroboree frog)
Lineage: Eukaryota; Metazoa; Chordata; Amphibia; Anura; Myobatrachidae
Exons: 3
Source: RefSeq, a predicted model, not a curated record